RNAcentral lists this ribosomal RNA (586 nucleotides) under uncultured microeukaryote. RNAcentral's name for it is "bacterial SSU rRNA". It matches the Rfam family "Eukaryotic small subunit ribosomal RNA", at positions 21 to 549 of the family's 1831-position model. The record is from RNAcentral.
UAGUCAUAUGCUUGUUUCAAGAACUAAGCCAUGCAUGCCUCAGAAUCACUGCACUGCAGGAAUCUGCGCAUGGCUCAUUACAUCAGACGUAAUCUGCCGCAAAUAUUUUGCGGUUUCCGCAAGACUGGAUACCUUGGCGAAACGCCAAGCUAAUACAUGAAUCUAGUGGGUGCCAUCCGUUCAAUGCGGGGGAGGUUCGCCGAGCCCGCAGCGAUGCACCUUGCGAAUGAAUGAAAUUAAAACCAAUGCCGCGGACGCGGCAGCAAUACCAAGAAGUGUUGAUGCAAUUCAUUCCGUGCGAAAGCUGAAUUUUCAGCGUCUUUUGACGAACAACUGCCCUAUCAGCCAGUGAUGGCCGUGUAGUGGACUGCCAUGGCGUUGACGGGAGCGGGGGAUUAGGGUUCGAUUCCGGAGAGGGAGCCUGAGAAAUGGCUACCACUUCUACGGAGGGCAGCAGGCGCGCAAAUUGCCCAAUGCCAAAAAAUUUGGUGAGGCAGCGAAAAGAAAUAGGCCUCCUUAACACCUUUCGGUGUUUGGGAGAUUCCAAUGGGGGAUAUUUAAACCCAUCGAACAUCGAGUACCAAUU